RNAcentral lists this long non-coding RNA (860 nucleotides) under Hordeum vulgare. RNAcentral describes it as "long non-coding RNA (HVUL_LNC006336)". The record is from RNAcentral. Lineage: Eukaryota; Viridiplantae; Streptophyta; Magnoliopsida; Poales; Poaceae.
CAACUCAACACCCUACGGCUUGGCCGUUAACAAUGGUUAAACAAAACAUCUUGUUUUUCCUAUAGUAAUUCAGUAGAAAUAGCCUGGCCAUAGAAACAACAAAGGGAAAAAAACUGGACAGUUGGGUGCUGCAACCGGCGGAGAAGCAUCGUCGCCUGAAUGCAGUUUAACUUGGAGAUUAUCCUCUAUCAGUUGUUAAUUUGGGGAUGUUGGAUUUUCGUGUAUCUCAGCAAAACUGUCCAAAUUAUACCCAUUGUGAUGGCUGCAAUAACAUGGACUAACGGAAACACAUGGUGCACGCUGUGAGGUGCCUUUUGAAGACGAUUCUUCACGCUACACAAGGCAGGAGAUACUUACUGGUGUGGACUCUUAUCGGUUUCCUUGUUCCUGCUCCCGACCUGGCUAUUUCUUUUGAUUUCGUGGUGCCUUCUUUUCCUAUAUCUCCCCUAAUAAUAAAACGCGGAGCGUUUCUGUCGUCCGUCGUGACAGUUUUACAAAAAAGUCCUCCAGUUUUUUCACAAUCAACCCGCGGUCCUCCAUUAAGUGGAAAAAAACGUUUCAUUUUCAAAAAAAGCCCCUGUCCUCCACCGGUCCAGGGAUGGGGUGGAUCCGAUCUGGCUGAGGCUGGAGGCGGCGGUGGUCAGAGAUGAAGGCGAGGCCGAGGGGCGCGUGGGGCGGCCGGAUCCAUGGCGAUCCAGGCCGGAUCCCGCCGAGGCUGGAGGCGGCGGCGCGCGGGGCGGCGAAGUGCGGCGAAGGAACCGCUCGGCCGGGGCGGCGACCCCGUCGCCGGAGCGCCGCCGCCUGUCGGAAUCCGAGGCUGUUCCCUGCGCCGCCCUUCUCCCUCCUCCUUCAACCUCCCC